AUCAUGAUCACCCUAAAGCUAGAAGCGAUUACUCCCAAAACUUACUCAUGCGCAAGUAAAAAUCUGUCAAAUUAUUGUCUCUCUGGUGCAAUGGUUGGUAUAGAACAAAAACAAAAAGGUUGUCUAGUAGAAAGGCGUAGACUUCAACGAGGAGAUUCAUUUGAGCUUUUACUAGUCCAAACUUGAAUCAUUUGUCCAUUUUACAUAAAUGUAUAUUCAAAUUUGAAUUGUCAAAUUUUUAAAUGAUAUUUUGUAUGUGUUUGUUUUGUCAGAAUGGGGUCUAAUUAAAGGAAGAAGAAGAAGAAUAGAAAGAUGAUUUUUUUUUUACCAACUUCGACAACGUGUGCCUCAGCCAGUUAGUAUAGUUUUGUAUUUUCUUUUUCUGAAAUGACUCUGGUUCUUGCAUAGCAAGUAGCAACUCAACAAGUGUCGAGAAUUUAGAUUGUUCUUCUAAGAAUUUCCAACGUUGAGAUAUGACAAUAUUAACUUUUUCUAAUGACAGGAUCGGACAUGUGGAGAAGUACAGGAUCGGACACUAUAGGAAUGAUUGUUCUAGGGGUGCGACAAAGACAAACGAGGACGCUUAGUCCCUGACUUGUUCAGGUAUCAUGAAAUGACAAAUGCAUACAUAUAUACAUAAUUGACAAAGAUCCGGUUAGGUUAGGUGUUAGUACACAUUGAUAAGGACUUCUAAUCUUUUUUAUAGUUUUUAUGUGAUGCCAUUAUGCCAUGAAGAUUAAUUACUUUGUUUGUGUUAUAUAAUUUUACUGAGUCUCCUAGGGUAAAAUGUGGAGACACAAAGAGAGAGGCCAUAUAUAUUUAGACAGUUGCAUAAACAAUCAACACCAUUAUUGGCUUUAUAUGCAUGUAUACAUAUAGAGGUUCGGAGAGGAUAAGUGGUUGGAAAACUUACCGUUGAGAGAGCAAUAUCCUUGUUUAUACAACAUUACUUGACAUAAGCAUACU
RNAcentral lists this long non-coding RNA (966 nucleotides) under Sorghum bicolor (sorghum). RNAcentral's name for it is "long non-coding RNA (SBIC_LNC013573)". Lineage: Eukaryota; Viridiplantae; Streptophyta; Magnoliopsida; Poales; Poaceae. The record is from RNAcentral.